GGAAUAUUGCGCAAUGGGGGAAACCCUGACGCAGCAACGCCGCGUGAGUGAGGAAGGCCCUCGGGUCGUAAAGCUCUGUCAAAUGGGAAGAACGGUCACGAUUCUAAUAGGGUCGUGAAUUGACGGUACCAUUAAAGGAAGCACCGGCUAACUUCGUGCCAGCAGACGCGGUAAUACGAAGGGUGCAAGCGUUGUUCGGAUGUAUUGUGCGUAAAGCGCGCUCAGUCGGACAGUUAAGCCAGAUGUGAAAUCCCGGGGCUCAACCUCGGAACUGCGUCUGGAACUGGUUGUCUAGAGUCUCGGAGGGGGAAGGGGAAUUUCGCAUGUAGGGGUAAAAUCCGUAGAGAUGCGAAGGAACACCAGUGGCGAAGGCGCCUUCCUGGACGAGUACUGACGCUGAGGCGCGAAAGCGUGGGGAGCAA
RNAcentral lists this ribosomal RNA (422 nucleotides) under uncultured bacterium. Its description in RNAcentral is "bacterial SSU rRNA". It matches the Rfam family "Bacterial small subunit ribosomal RNA", at positions 358 to 771 of the family's 1533-position model. The record is from RNAcentral.